CGAGUCAGCCGGCUGAACACAUGCCCGCUCGACGCACGCGUAGACAAAAGCAGAGCCGCAGAGCCCAGAACACUGGGAAGACCCAAAACACAAGAGUUCCGACUGCUCUUUUAAGAGGUGCCGAGAGAACAUACACUGGCCUUUGAAAAUGAACAAACACUACAAGCAAACACUCAAGACUACUGCAGCUUCUCUCUCAACAAGCUUAAUUGACUGCAUCGUGGAAGGAUCAGAACUGGGCCUAGUGGGAGGAGGCAGAGGCGUGGCCACAGCUAAUGAAGAUGGCCUGCACUGGUGAGAGUGGCAAACACCUUUGCGAAUGUUCUCUCAGUGAAGGUAAGCCCUGCACAGAGAAGGGGGGAGGGGCAACUACAGGAAGCAGCAGGGGGAGGCAGAGGGGAGAUGAUAAGAAGUCCCUCCCAGAGACAGUGGCUGCGGGGAGUGGAGGAGAUGCGCAGCCCUACUUCUGGGCCGUACGCUGGAAUAUCACAGACAGCAUACAGGAGAAGGUCCGCUUCAAUGACCUGGAGGACCCCCCUUCCUCACACUGCUCUACCCAAACAAGCUCAUUACCGACAGGGAAGGUGGAGGUCGAGGAAUGCUAACUGCUAAACUCUGAUGAGAGUAAUGCUGCAGAGCUAAUCCACAAUCACCAAGAAACCAGGUAUGCAUUAUUAACAAGGUUUUGCUGUGGCUUUCAUGUUGUUCAUGUGGAACUGUGGAAGUAGAACAGAGUGAUCGACAGACACACUAAAACAGUAUAAUGCAUGCGCAUGUUUUUAUUUCCCUGUAUUUUCAUAACAGUUACUUCUCUCUUCUAAAAGUCCUCAGACAAUGGUAGUAUGCAUUCCCUGUACAUCAUCCUUUUACUAUUUUUGUGUAGAACAAUAUAUAUGUAGCUAAGUAAAAACAACAUGGAACCGCCAGUUUUGUCGCUAAUUUGCCACAAGCAAUGUUACAUUGGAGCAUUACAAGGAAUUUCCAUUUCCUAUUCCUUUUAGAAGUCCAGACCACUGUCCAUAAAGCUGCCAUUAAGCAGAAAGGUAUGCAUUAUUCAGGAGUUUCCUGUUGUUGCAUUCAUGUCUUGUCUCAGGAUAGAGUUAAACCUCUUUAACAGAGGAAAAAAAAAUUCUUUCUUUAGAGUCAGUGUGCUAUUCCAGUCAGUUAUGGAGGGAGGUAGGUGUUAUCAC
Molecule: long non-coding RNA, 1190 nt
Organism: Anguilla anguilla (European eel)
Lineage: Eukaryota; Metazoa; Chordata; Actinopteri; Anguilliformes; Anguillidae
Exons: 2
Source: RefSeq, a predicted model, not a curated record